GGCGGUAUUCGGGGAGAAAAAAGAAAAGGUGGCAGGUGGCUUAGGUCAUAUUUGGACCACUUUGUGCUGAAGCACCGUAACUUGGUCUUUUGUCAUCACUUUAAUGAGUAGUAGAUUCAAACCCUAUUAUUAUCCACCGACUGCCCUGUCCUACUUCUAGGCUACUAACUCUAUAGCCCUACACUAGAGCCACCACUGUGACACAGAGAUGAGAAUACUUCAAGGAGAGACAGAGAGAGAAAGCAGCUCUCAAUGAUCAAAGUAGAAAACACCCCAUAAAAGUGCAACUGAUCGUUGUUCAGGUACUGGAUUUCUUCGUUCUUUCUUUUGUUUUUUUUUUUUUGUUGGAGAUCAAGGUGCAAUACUGCUGUAAAUGGAUCAGCUGAUUGAGUUCUCAUAUUUUGCCUUUUGGUAAGUGACCUUAAAUCGUAUCUUCUCUUUGCUAAUUUCCUUGUUUGUUGCUCCAUAUCUAAGCUUCUACGUAGGGACCUUUUCUUAUCCAGUUCACGGUUGCUAGCUUUUCCCCUUCGUUUUGUUGUUUGAGGGUCAUUGUUAUUUUGUGGAAACUUCUACUCAGCAACUUUGUGGAUCUCCAAAUACUGUUUCAAGCCAUGGAUGAUCAUGGGUUUAACUUAAUUUCACUCCAUAUUCUAUAUGUUUCUAUGUGGGUUGUUUGCUUCAUUGAUCUAGGUUUCAGUUCCUCUGCUGGGUUUAUUCUAUUUUCGCAAUUGGGUUUGUCUUUGUUAACUUUCUACAGUCACCUUUUCGUUUCCACGAGAAGUGAAAAUAAGCCUUAUCACUUAGGGUUAGGGUUCAUGCAAAGGACGCUCUUUACUUUAAAGUUCAUUUCUUGUGCUUCUGUUUUGAGUAUUCUUUUACUUUCCCAAGUCUAGAAUCAGCCCGUUUUCUAGCACUCUAAGCUGAUUUGGUUUCUAAACAGUUUCCUCUGAUACCCAAGAUUGUCUUAAGAAGAUGUCUGUGUUUUAUUGGAGUUCAAGACCUUCCCUUUAGAAAGGAUUAAGAUUCUUGAAAUUGUCUGUUCUCUUCUAUAUCGAUCUUUAUCUUGGCCUAUCGAUCUUUCAUCUUCCAUUUCAAUUAUCUUAUUUGAAUUCUCGUAGUAGUUUGCUUUCCUAAGUUUUUACAGAAACUCAGAAAUAGAACUGUCAGAGAUACCCUUAUAAAUGUCAGUCAUAAAAUAUGACGUAAUUAAUUUGAUUUCAUGCUAAUGAAGGAAACCUUGCCAUUGUUAUUUUGGUAGCUGAUUUGCCUUGCACUCCAAAUAGAGAAGCAGAUCCCCAUGGCUUUGAUUUAGCAAAUCAGAUUAAUUAGCGAAUUUGAAUUAUCAUACAUGAUGUGAUUUGUGAAUGUGUCUAUUAUUUUUUAUUUUUUAUUUAUAUUUCCUUAUGCAUACUCUAUUGUGAAAGCUUCAAUAGUAUCAGCAAUAUGUUAACGUUAAUCAGGACAUAGUAAUGAGAAAUGGUUUAAGAGAGCUUCCUUCAGUCCACUCAUGGACGGGUGAAGGGUUUGAAUUAUAUGCCGACUCAUUCAUUCAAACACAAUAGGAAAUGGUAACAGUGAUUGCUAUUGUGAAUGUGUGAAUGAUGCGGGAGAUAAAUUUCAUCCUUCUCUUCUCUGUGCUUGGACUGAAGGGAGCUCCCUUUAACUGUUUCUUCAUCUCAAAUGAGAGGAUACAAUGAAACAACUCAAACCAGACAAGGUUCUGAAAACCAUUAUCAAAUACUUUUGAGUUUCUUCCUUACUUUACAAAACAUAUGGUCUUGCUCCAUUCUUAUUUGUUUGGUACUCUUCUUUCUUUCUUUGUUAUUGGUCGGAAGGUUGAGGAUACGGGAUGAGAGGGGAAUGGAAUCGAACCCAGAUCACCGGGAAUUUUUCUUUACUCUCAAUUAUGCAUUACAAAACAUGAAGUAAAGGCAAUUGUAUUUGCUAGAAACUAGAAAAACUUGUUAGAAACAUAGUUGAAUUAUUUAGAAUAUAUGGGAAACCGCAGUACAUUCUAGUGUUUUAAGGUUCAGGAUCCAUUCUUAGUCCUGGGGUCAAAAGGGGUAUCUCUAUUUAUCCAUUGAAGAGCUCUGCUUAGUAGAAGCAUGUUAAUAAUGAAGAUAUUUUAGAUUUUAGCUGAAAUUUGGGAAAAGAAAAUUGAUUUUCUUUUGCAUUUUCGUAAUUCUUUUUUGCGUAUUAUCCUUGCUUAACUCUCCCCACUUCUCUUCUCUUUUCUUUUCUUAGCAAAAACAUGACCAAGCUUUGUAUGCACGUAUAUUUAGAGCCUCCUAAACGUUUAUGCCUCAAUUUCCCAAGUACUCUCUGGUCUCAUUCCAUUUUGCCUGCACCAUUGAGGGUAAGUGAGAGGCAAAGCUACCAACUUGAAGAUGUUUGCCCACGAGUAAUAACAAUCCACUUCUGGGAGGAUUGCACUGAAAAUUCAUGACAUGAUAUAACGAGAGAGAGAGGUUUUUGCUUUUUGGACUCUAUUUUUCAGGAAUAAACUAGAAGCUGAAAAGUGAUACUCCAUUGAUUCAUGUGUUUUCCUGUCAACUUGAUAAGUCUGUCAUGGUGUUUGUUUACUGAGAAAUGGGAAAAAAGAGAAAAAAAUUUUUUUUGUGGA
Molecule: long non-coding RNA, 2623 nt
Organism: Manihot esculenta (cassava)
Lineage: Eukaryota; Viridiplantae; Streptophyta; Magnoliopsida; Malpighiales; Euphorbiaceae
Exons: 2
Source: RefSeq, a predicted model, not a curated record